GCCGGAUUAGCUCAACGGGAAAGAGCUCCUGUCUCGUAAACAGGUGGCGCGGGUUCGAGUCCUGCAUCCGGCUCCA
RNAcentral lists this transfer RNA (76 nucleotides) under Mycobacterium sp. AZCC_0083. Its description in RNAcentral is "tRNA-Thr". It matches the Rfam family "tRNA". Rfam says of the family: Transfer RNA (tRNA) molecules are approximately 80 nucleotides in length. Their secondary structure includes four short double-helical elements and three loops (D, anti-codon, and T loops). The record is from RNAcentral. Lineage: Bacteria; Bacillati; Actinomycetota; Actinomycetes; Mycobacteriales; Mycobacteriaceae.